GACUACAUGAAGCCGGAAUCGCUAGUAAUCGCGGAUCAGAAUGCCGCGGUGAAUACGUUCCCGGGCCUUGUACACACCGCCCGUCAAGCCAUGGAAGCCGGGAGUGCCUGAAGUACGCGACCGCAAGGAGCGUCCUAAGGUAAAACCGGUGACUGGGGCUAAGUCGUAACAAGGUACC
This 178-nucleotide ribosomal RNA is filed under the name uncultured bacterium. RNAcentral describes it as "partial 16S ribosomal RNA". It matches the Rfam family "Bacterial small subunit ribosomal RNA", at positions 1314 to 1500 of the family's 1533-position model. The record is from RNAcentral.